Molecule: long non-coding RNA, 625 nt
Filed under: Cricetulus griseus (Chinese hamster)
Lineage: Eukaryota; Metazoa; Chordata; Mammalia; Rodentia; Cricetidae
Description: lncRNA (ENSCGRG00015031236.1)
Source: RNAcentral
CUCCAGUAAGCCAAGACCACAUGGAAAUACAUAGGUUAAUAGAAAUGGGUUAAUAAUUAAGACCGAGCUAGUCAACAAGAAGCCCUAGCCACUGGUCAACAGUUUUUUAAUUAAUAUAGCAUCUGGGUGUUUAUUUGGGGCUGAAGGGGCUUCGGGACCCAGCGGCAGGACAAGGAGACCUACAGCAGCAAACAACAUAGAGCCAGAUGAAAGUGAGUCCCAGGGCAGUUGGAACUGCCAUCCAGGAUCUGAGGAACAGCGGGAACUUGAACCUGAGUUUGUCUGUCCAAAAGUCCCCUCUCAUACCAGAGUGACAGCGAAGAGCACCAUCACACCUACAGCUCUGAGUGUGUGCUGUCUUUGCUUCUAGACAAGGGGACAAAUCCUCAGCUCCCAACAGCAGCCAAGGCCUAGGAGUGUAAUCACCAGGAAUCCUAUAAGCGCUGAUAAGAUACGGCUUCCUCCAAUGAAGACACUGGCUGUUAGGGACAGGCUGCUCAGCCACCUUCUGCCCACACAGCCGCACAAGCACGGCCUGUCCUCAGCAAGCGCCUGGGAGAACACAAGCUUGGGGAUUUGCAGGACUGGUUUCUCUUCAUGCCGGAGCUUCAGUGUGACAGUCAAC